AAGACUAUACUUUCAGGAAUCAUUUCUGUAGUUCGUUACUGAAGACCAGUUUGCAAUAAAUUAUUUCUUCCUCCGCAGCAUCUACUUUGGU
This is a non-coding RNA of Mus musculus (house mouse), 91 nucleotides long. NCBI's taxonomy places the organism in Eukaryota, Metazoa, Chordata, Mammalia, Rodentia, Muridae. The record is from Rfam.